Molecule: ribosomal RNA, 253 nt
Filed under: uncultured bacterium
Lineage: Bacteria
Description: partial 16S ribosomal RNA
Rfam family: Bacterial small subunit ribosomal RNA
Source: RNAcentral
UACGUAGGGGGCUAGCGUUGUCCGGAAUCAUUGGGCGUAAAGAGCGUGUAGGCGGUCCGGUAAGUCCGUUGUGAAAGUCAGGGGCUCAACCCUUGAAUGCCGGCGGAUACUGUCGGGCUAGAGUCCGGAAGAGGCGAGUGGAAUUCCUGGUGUAGCGGUGGAAUGCGCAGAUAUCAGGAGGAACACCAAUAGCGAAGGCAGCUCGCUGGGACGGUACUGACGCUAAGGCGCGAAAGCGUGGGGAGCGAACAGG